This is a long non-coding RNA of Carassius gibelio (silver crucian carp), 981 nucleotides long. RefSeq lists it as uncharacterized. The record is from RefSeq and is a predicted model, not a curated record. NCBI's taxonomy places the organism in Eukaryota, Metazoa, Chordata, Actinopteri, Cypriniformes, Cyprinidae. The transcript has 4 exons.
GGACACACAGCUGCUGAAGUCUGAUGCUGGCUGACAAUAAACAGACCUCUCUGGAUGUACCCCAUCUUUUGUAGAGUAAUUCUAACAUUGCCCUUCCUGUAACAUGAUGAUCCUGCUGUCCUGGACUGUAUAUGAUGAGCCUACACAUAAUCUCAGAACAGCUGUGGUAAUAACAGGAGACCCAUUUGGUGAGAGCAGCACUGCAGUCUUUCCUGAUGGAGGAUAUCAUGGACCAUUUGCAUAAGACUGAUGAUGCGUUUCAGCGGCCAUCAGCAUCGUAAAUCCUCACCAUUUUUUUAUAUUUAUAUAUUUUUUUUUAUUAUGUGCAUUAAUAACACUAUACUUUGUAUUAUCUCACAUUUGUAUCAAAUUACAAAAAAAAAAAAAAAAAAUAGCUAAUGCAAGGGUGUUUCAAAUCCAGAGUCUUUGGGAGGAAUGAUAAAUUUAACAUUGUUCUCUCUUCUGACUGCUGUUAUCAGUCUCUGUCAGAUUUUUUCCUUUGAUUGAAAGUUGUGAAAAUGCUAUCUUUAGAGUUUAUGUUUUGUUAUUUGAGUAAAUGAGAAUGCAAAAAUAUAUUUGUGAUACUCUCCCAUUCACUGCUCUCGAAGUUAACCCAACUAUAACAACUUCCGCUGCUGAGAAACUGGUUUAUUAAGCUAUCUUGAGGCUUAUCAAUUUCUUAAAAUGUCCUGUGAUAAUUCUUCCAAUCAGUUACCACAAUUUAGAACAGGAAAGAAAAUGUUACUAUGAAUUGCAUUGUGUCUAAAAUUGAAUUGAAUUUAUUAAUUUAAAUUGUAUCAUUGUUUUAGGUACAUGAAAUGUUUUUGUAAAGUUAAUUAGUUAAUUAAUAAAGUUAAUUUAAUUUAAAGAUAAUUGAGUCCCAUUUAUUUGUUUAUAAUUUUACCAAGGUGUAAAUUUUUUGUUGUUGUUGUUAUUUGUUUAUAGCAAUAUUAACACUGAUGUGUCCAUGAAUGGGAUUGU